Molecule: long non-coding RNA, 8598 nt
Filed under: Salmo salar (Atlantic salmon)
Lineage: Eukaryota; Metazoa; Chordata; Actinopteri; Salmoniformes; Salmonidae
Description: lncRNA (ENSSSAG00000100022.1)
Source: RNAcentral
GUAAGAUAUGAACAGUCUAACCUCAUUAUUGAAUAAAAUAAGUAGUCUAUGAUAGGCCUUGCUCUUUUAAAUGAACUUCCAUUAUUUACUUAUUUUUCAGCGGAAUUUUGUGGCAGGGAUUAUGUAAGUAUAGGAACAAGUAUUUACAAGCUCUCCAACUCAUGCUUAUGCAAUCACAGUUUGAGGAUUUCAACACUCAGAGGAGAGCUGUUUGUUAAAAUGUGACAGCUCAUCAAAGAAAGCUGUACGCCACUCUAAAGAUUUGGCACUGUGUCAUCUUUUAUUGACUCAAUAACUGUUUAAAGCACCUGAAAUUCCUCAAAUCCUGAAAGCCUAUCAAUUUCAUUCAACAAUGCUCCCUUGCACACUUAAUAUCCCGAGCACUAUUCCAUUCUACCACCACCAGACAAUCGAUUUAUUCUGAAUUUCAGUCAAGACCUCGUUGGAUUCAUCCUUUCCCUGAAGCCUCUUAGGCAAACAGCCUGCGGAAUGGAAUGGUGAAUUCUUAUCCAUUUCUGUUGGGCAGUGACUCGUCUCUUCUCGGGUGUGACUUUGAUGCUUCAUCCUUAUUCACUGGGGGUGGAUGAAUUCUUAAGGCCCAGGCUGGCUGAAAAUAAAUUGACCAGGCAGGCUACUUGGAUGAGUUCCAAGAUGGUUUCCCAUCCCAUACACCUUCUAGUUUGAUGUCUCUGGAGAGUGAAAGACUGUUUUGUGACGAAAGCAAGACCUCAGCCUCCCAAGUUCCUCAGGGCCACUCCCCCCCCCCCCCACCAGAGAACGCUUAGACAGCAAUUAUCAGCUGUUUGGAAAUUAAUUGUGUAACAUGUAGCCUAGCAAAACUAACAGCCACAGGCCAUACUCGAUUGGCUACAUCCAGAUUAUCUGAAUGCCACAUUUUAACACUUAGUCCUUGAACCAUUUUUAGAGAAUUACAUGGAAAUGAUGUCAGUGGCAGCUAACCUCAGAUGGUUCAAUGGUGUAACUGGAGGACAGUUGAACGUACAUGGUUUAACGUACAUGACAUGUAGCCUACUGUCUCUCUAUCUGAGGGACUCCAUUGUCCAUCUAAUGGACAAUGAAAUGAUUCUGUAUGAAUGAAUGCUGCACUAAGACCUACUUGGAGGAUCUGAAAUGGGUGCCUCCAUAGGAACGGUUACAGUGAGGUCUGAUUUAACCUACCUGUGAUACCUCAGUUGUAAAUCACACGAGAUAACAUUGAUUGGGUGAUGACGAGGGGCUGUGGCUUUAUGUAGGGAGGGGGUGUAGCUCACAAUCUAAUUGAAUUAAAAAGGAAUGGACCACAACCCAGAUAAGAUUCUUAUUACUAAAUCCAAUGGAUCACAUCAAAGUCUUCAUAAAAGGGACCUUUUUAUUUACAGCUACAGAGACAAACCCUCAAGACCGUAAACAACAUAGCAUCUUUCCAUAUCUGGCUGUAUUUGUUCUGUGUCCUGAUUGUCUAGCCACGUCACACUGACCUGGCUGUGUGUGUGUGUGUGGUUAGCGAGCGGUGUCUUUAUCUCCACAUGACUGGAUUAGAUUAAAACAGAUUUCCACAGAGCCGCUCCCCAGAAUGACACACAGAACGACAGACAGACAGAAAGACAGCCCUGCUGGCUGGCCGGAUAGGCAGACUGGCAGGCCAGGUGGACGGACGGCUGGACGGCAGGCAAUCAGGCAGGCAGACAGACCGACAGACGGAUUGUAUGGGCGUACAUGAACAGAGGGAUUGAGAGAGAUUGGGAGAGGGAGGAUAUGAUGAAAGAGAAGAAUAAUUGUAAUUCAAGGUCUUUCUCUGCAGUCCUGUGUUCCCUUUGCCCUACUCCCGUCAAACUAUUGUAGUCAUAGCAUAAGUUGUGACGAUAUGUGUGUGUGUUUGUGUGUGUGUGCACAUUGGUAUGGUAAGUGCGUAUGAGACAUAACGUUCUCGUUAGUCCUAGAAAUCAUCCACUCCCUCACAUGAAAGGUAUUAAACCAUUCUGAUCUAUUAAUAAAAUAAUAAUUAAUUUCAUUUGACACACCUUACAGGACACUUAAGGAUACCUUACAUUAAAAGUACCUACAUUCAAGUGCAGGUUAAAUUGGAUUUAACCAUUGGAUUACUUACAUUGAUCCUAUCCUCUGGAAGAAAAAAAAAACAGUUUAAUUACACCAGAGGCCAAUAUUACUCUAGUUUUGACAUUAGCAUGCUAAUGCAGCUCUUAUUGAGUAGCAUAGUUGGGCUGUUCUGGAUUGCACAUUGACAGUUAUUGAUGGGCUAUCAAGAGUAUUCCCAGUGGGUGAGGAACUGCAGUGGAAAUGCGCAUUCUAGAAUGAGAUUGCACGUUUCAGACAGGGCCACACCCCAUGGCUAUAGAUGUAUACACUGCAUCACUCAUCAGAGUACACACUUUACUUUACACUCUAAUUGUAAAUUGGUUCUUUCUUGGUUUAUUUCAAUUAAUUCCCAUGUAACCAAAAACUAUACCUAGGUAAUAAUUAUUUUAUAACACUUUUAUAGUUUUAGUUUUGACAAAAUUCCAAACACUCUGAACCAGAUCAGAUGAGAAUUCACAAGCAAUGUUAGUUGCCUUCUUUUGAAAUGCCAUUAUACUGAGAAGUUAGCAACAGCCAUUGAGUGGGUUCUACUUCGUAGGUGCUGUGGUGGUGUGUAUCAGACAGACAUGGGCUCUGUGUGUGGGACUGAGUGUAGGAAGACAGACAUUGAGUGGGUUCUACUUCGUAGGUGCUGUGGUGGUGUGUAUCAGACAGACAUGGGCUCUGUGUGUGGGACUGAGUGUAGGAAGACAGACAUUGAGUGGGUUCUACUUCGUAGGUGCUGUGGUGGUGUGUAUCAGACAGACAUGGGCUCUGUGUGUGGGACUGAGUGUAGGAAGACAGACAUUGAGUGGGUUCUACUUCGUAGGUGCUGUGGUGGUGUGUAUCAGACAGACAUGGGCUCUGUGUGUGGGACUGAGUGUAGGAAGACAGACAUUGAGUGGGUUCUACUUCGUAGGUGCUGUGGUGGUGUGUAUCAGACAGACAUGGGCUCUGUGUGUGGGACUGAGUGUAGGAAGGCAGACAUGGUCAGUCUGUAAUCUCAAUAAUAACAGACAGACUUUAAAAACCCAUACAGCAGAUGUUGAUUUGAGAUCCCAGUACUCCAUAUAUUCAAGACCAGUUCUCUAUUAGCCUCAACUCUAUCUUGAAGAGUCCAGCCUAUUUGGUGCUUGGAUCAAUUCACUUGUGACUCAAGGCUGAGUUCAGACCCCUUAUCUCUAAGGGUUGGGACUGGGAUUGAGUCUUGUGCUCUUAGCGGCCUUGGGGUCUAGUCCACUCUCAUCAGGGCUUAGGCUGGGACUGGCUCUAGUCCUCAUAGUGCCUUGGUAAAGUCUGGACUGACAGUUAACAGUUUACAGUUCAACUAAUUUAACUUCCAUUGGUUCCAUUUAAUCUCCAUGUUAAACAAGCACUAGGAAAUGAACCCCAGAAGUUGUAUGUAACAGUAAACUUAGCAGUGCCAAUUCAGCAUGAACUAGUCCCAUCCAGAUAUUGAAAACCCUGGGUGCAUCCAAAUUGGCAUCCUAUUCUCUAUAUAUUGCACUACUUUUGACCAGAGCACCUGGUCAAAAAUAGUGCACUAUAUAGGGAAUAGGGUACCAUUUCCCCUGUGAUGGAAGGAGUACAUGGCAGGAGGGAUGCUGUGUCAUUGUGUAAUCUCCUGUUGAUUAAAUGGACUGCCACAGGUUUUGUUUUUCCCACAGCCCUGUAUCCCUGGCCCUGUAAGUGACCUAGUUAAAGACCCAGUGCUAUUGUGCCUUGCUGAAUUUCAGUCUCCCUAUAAGUAGUUGUACAUGGUGUGGAAGGUAGACAUACAUACACACCAGUGGAAGCUGCUGAGGGGAGGACAGCUUAUAAUAUUGGCUGGAAUGGAGUAAAUGUAAUGGCAUCAAACACAUAGAAACCAUGUGUUUGACACCAUUCCACUGAUUCCACUCCAGCCGUUACCAGGAGCCCGUCCUCCCCAAGUAAGGUGCCACCAACGUCCUGUGAUACAUACAUACAUACAUACAUACAUACAUACAUACAUACAUACAUACAUACAUAGGCCAACCUACUGUAUGCAUACACACAAGGUGGAAAAGUGGAAAGCGAAAGGUAGAGUGGAAGCUAGCGAGCAAGAGAGGGGGACAGACAGUGAGCGAGAUACUGUAGAGUUAGAGGAACAGGGUGGGUCUGGAAGAGGUGGGGCCUGCGCGUGCGUGCUGUCUGUGUGUGUGCUCUGUGUUCAGACAGCGUGGAUGUCUGGGGCCUCAGCAGACUGAAUGGAAUUUAUACCAUAUGUACCAGGCAUCCCAGGAAUGCACCCUAGGCCCAAAGAGCUGACCAACGGAAAGAGAGGAGAGAGAGAGGGAGAGAGAGAGGGAGAGAGAGAGAGAGAGAGAGAGGGAUCCAUCCAUUCUGCAGGAACAAACCUGUUGAGCGCAAGUCCUCCUGUUAGGGGAAAAAAUUCAGCAUAUUUUGCAAAAUGGCUGCUUGCUGUGGACACAUCUGUUUAACAUGGUUGUAUCUCUGGACCCUAUGGGCCCUGGUCAAAGGUAGUGCACUAUAAAGGAAUAGGGUGUCAUUUGGGACAGAUUCCAUAUGCAACGAUAAAGAUGAAUACACAGAUUUUGCCCAACUAGUUAUUGAAACGAGUUCUGCAAUAACUAUGUAAUUACUAUGUAGUUACACCAAGGCAACCCAGAAAUUAUUAACAAUUAUAUUUAACUACAUGGUAUACAGUGCAUUCAGAAGUAUUCAGACGCCUUCACUUUUUCCACAUUUUGUUACGUUGCAGCCUAAUCCUAAAAUGUAUUUAAUUGUUUCUUUCCCUCAUCAAUCUACACACAAUACCCCAUAAUGACAAAGUAAAAACAGGUUUUUAGAGAUGUUUGCAAAUGUAUUAAAAAUAUAAAACGGAAAUAUUGCAUUUACAUUAGUACUCAGACCCUUUACUCAGUACUUUGUUGAAUCAUCUUUGGCAGAGAUUACAGCCUCGAUCUUCUUACUAUGACACUACAAGUUUGGAACACUGGUAUUUGGGGAGUUUCUCCCAUUCUUCUCUGCAGAUCCUCUCAAGCUCUGUCAGGUUCGACUUGGAGCAUCGCUGCAUAAAUAUUUUGUAGGUCUAUCCAGAGAUGUUCGAAAUUCGUUCCGGGCUCUGGCUUGGCCACUCAAGGCUAUUCAGAGACUUAUUCCGAAGCCACUCCUGCAUUUUCUUGGCUGUGUGCUUAGGGUCGUUGUCCUGUUGGAAGGUGAACCUUCACCCCCAGUCUGAGGUCCAGGCCGCUCUGGAUCAGGUUUUCAUCAAGGAUCUCUCUGUACUGUCACCACCAUGCUUCACCGCAGGCAUGGUGCCAGGUUUCCUCCAGACGUGAUGCUUUUUUCCCCAAAGAGUUCAGUCUUGGUUUCAUAAGACCAGAGAAUCUUGUUUCUCAUGGUCAGAGUCCUUUAGGCGCCUUUUGGAAAACUCCAAGCUGGCUGUCAUGUGCCUUUUACUGAGGAGUGGCUUCUGUCUGGCCACUCUACCAUAAAGACCCGAUUGGUGGAGUGCUGCAGAGAUGGUUGUCCUUCUGGAAGGUUCUCCCAUCUCCACAGAGGACCUCUGGAGCUCUAUCAGAGUGACCAUCGGGUUCUUGGUCACCCCCCUGACCAAAGGCCCUUCUCCCCUGAUUGCUCAGUUUUGCCAGGCUGACAGCUCUAGGAAGAGUCUUGGUGGUUCCAAACUUCUUAAAUUCAAGAAUGAUGGAGGCCACUGUGUUCUUGGGGACCUUCAAUGCUGCAGAAAUGUUUUGGUAUCCUUCCCCCAGAUCUGUGCCUCAACACAAUCCUGUCUCUGAGCUCUACGGACAAUUCCUUUGACCUCAUGGCUUGGUUUUUGCUCUGACAUGCACUGUCAACUGUGGGACCUUAUAUAGACAGGUGUGUGCCUUUCCAAAUCAUGUCCAGUCAGCUGAAUUUACCACAGGUGGACUCCAAUCAAGUUGUAGAAACAUCUCAAGGAUGAUCAAAGGAAACAGGAGGUACCUGAGCUUAAUUUCCAGUCUCAUAGCAAAAGGUCUGAAUACUUAUGUAAGGAAGUGUGAGGAGCUUGAAGGGGAACAUGCACACAUGAACACACGCGGACACACACAGAUGGAAACACUCCUUCACACACACAUACACACACGGAAGGACACACACACACACACACACACAUUCAUACGGACAGGCACACACAGAUGCAGACCUAGAAACAACGUUUUUAUUCACACACACUCCUAUAUCCGGGAAGGGAAGGGCGAUGGCUAGACUGGUCUAGCCUGGCUCUCUGUCUCUCUCUUGUUCUCUCUCUCUCUCUCUCUCUCUCUCUCCCUCAAUCUUUCUUUCACUCUCUCUAUCUCCCUCUCAAUGUCUCUCUUUCUCUCUCUGAUUCUCUCUCUUCCUCCCUCUCUCUCUCCACACUUAUUCCUCUGUUGGUUUUAGAAGAGCAACAUUAACGAUGUAGCUAGUCAUGACACAUUGUUGAUAACCUUACAGCCCCCUUCGUUCGUUCAUUUUCUCUUACGAAAAAUGUAUCAACCCCUACAAAAAUGUCCAUGAAUUAUAAUCCCCAUAAAAAUUCCUAUGUCCUGUUGCUGCAGGAAUAUUUUCCUGCUUUAGCAAACGGUCUCAAAUUAAGAGGAGGACUAAAGAAAGAUUACAGGAAGAAAAGGAUCAGUGCGUGUGAAGCUGAUGACCUGGGAUGCCAUACAAAUACAUAGACAGACACAGACAGGCACACAGCCUUGAUGAUCAGCUAAUGACACACACACAUACACAGCUGUCAUACAGGAUGAGUGUGUUGCGGUGUGUGUUGCGGUGUGUGUGUGUGUGUGUGUGUGUGUGUGUGUGUGUGUGUGUGUGUGUGUGUGUGUGUGUGUGUGUGUGUGUGUGUGUGUGUGUGUGUGUGUGUGUGUGUGUGUGGGGCAGGAUGUCUGCCUCUGUCCCUCUGACGUCUGGGAGCCGGAUACCCCCUGACACACACACUUCCUGUUUACCUCCAUAACACACACACCAUAACAACUAAUUAACAACAAAAUCUGAGUUGUUUCCCGGUUACAGGUGUUCUUUCAUAACACGUAACCGUGUCAUAGUGCUAAUUCCUGUCCCCUUCUUCCAGUUCCUCCUACAUCAUCACUUCCUAUUCAGGGGUGUAGAUGCAUAUGAAUGAAAUCAGUGCUAUCAAGCAGACAGCAAAGAGCUCAAAGCAAGCUGUGUGUGUGUGUGUGUGUGUGUGUGUGUGUGUGUGUGUGUGUGUGUGUGUGUGUGUGUGUGUGUGUGUGUGUGUGUGUGUGUGUGUGUGUGUGUGUGUGUGUGUGUGUGUGUGUGUGUGUGUGUUCACACCAGAUGACUCACCGUAGCAUAAUUGCUGUCAGAUUGAUGUUGUCGGAGGUGGUUUGGUAAAAUGGCAACGCUUACAGUAGCUGAGAUCAGAUGUCUACAGCAUUUGCUGAAACGCAUUCACACACACUAACAUGCAAACACUAUAACAUAUGUUGAAACAACAUGUGUAGUGGGUAAGCGCACGCAAGCAACCAACUACAUACACACAUGCACACAUUGAAAGGAUGUACACACACAUUGGAACAUUGAGACAUACACGGACUCUCUCCUCCUCAGUUAGCAGUGAGUGGACGUGGUUCCUGGUUGAUGCAUAUGCAUGGUGCUCUUAUGAAUAAUUCACUGAAGGCCUGUGUGAUAUUGCAGUGAAUUUCUAAUGGGAUAGUUUGGAAAGUGUGUAUCUGUCUCAGAGAUCCAUAUGACCACCACCACUGCUGCUUAUGCCUCCAAGGCCUACUCACAAUUUUUUUGUCCUGUUGCUCUUCUCACUCCCUAUAUUUCUCUCACUUUCAUCCCUUUCUUUUUCUCACCUCUCUCUCUGCUCUCUCUCCCUCUCUAUGUAUCUCUCUCUUAUCUUUUCCUCUCUUUCUCUCUCUCUUUCUCUCUCUCUCUCUGCUCUCGCUCUCCCUCUCUAUGUAUCUCUCUCUCAUCUUUUCCUCUCUCUCUCUCCCUCUCUCUCUCUUCUCUGCGUCACUUAUUUCAGGCAUUAGUUGACAACCUCUACACUACAGAGCGAAAAAUACUAAGUAAUAUUUCCCUCUGGGGAGUCAUUUUAUAUAAUAAAUCAAAUAUAUAUUUAUUCAUUGUCUUUGAAUUUAUGAGAAGUUGUUAUAUUGGCAUGCCAUGGGUCAAUCUAAUCUCUAUGGUGUCACAUUACUGCCGUAAUGUUGUAAAUGAACUGAACAUGAGUGGCAUUUGCAACAUAAGAUAUAAAUCCUAUGGGAUGUCAAAACACAUCCGGUUGCAGUGACAGUGACGUGAGACAGAGAGAUGUUUCCACGUUGCAGUGACUCGUCUGGCCCCCCUCUCCUCCUCCGUUAGCAUUGUCAACUGGCAUUUCAUAGCCCAAAUGGAUUGUGUGUAUUCCCAGAAGGCUCGGCGGUUUUCCCUUUCAGAGAUGACUUCCUGCAGUCAGUUAGAGAAGAGAACACUGGUUCAUAACUCAGACCACAUACACUGUUAUUCACUACAGAGAGGGAGGGGGGCGUGAGGGGG